RNAcentral lists this long non-coding RNA (5389 nucleotides) under Brassica napus (rape). RNAcentral describes it as "long non-coding RNA (BNAP_LNC006911)". The record is from RNAcentral. Lineage: Eukaryota; Viridiplantae; Streptophyta; Magnoliopsida; Brassicales; Brassicaceae.
UGAAACUCCUACAUCAAAUCUUGGUGAAAGUCUAGUGAGCUCAAAAGAGAAGAUUGAUAUUGAGAUGGGAGGAGGAGGAAGGAUUGUUGAUGAGGGUGGAAAAACUUACUCACUCCCUGAGAUUCUCAGGAAUCUAAACUAUGAAGACCUUGACGAUGACUGUGAGGAAGAUGACUUGAAGGCCAAGGAUCAUCACCACCACCUCCACCAUCAUCAUCAGAAUGAGGAAAUCAUCCCUCCUUUUGACCCUUUCUUCACCAAUGACAAUGGUGUUAACAAGGAUGAGAAAAAUGGACAAGAAUCAAGAGGAUCUUCAAGUGAUAAUGGAGAUUCAGGGAAACACGUUGGAGUCUCCACUGAUGAUGAAGAAAAAGCUGAAGGGUAUGAACAAAAAUGGAGUAUGGACAGUGUCAUGAACAUAAACGCAGGAUCUGAAGAUGGAGCAAGCUCUCCUCAAUCUACUUCCCCAAUGCUUCGUAAAUAGAGGUAAUGAAAAUUAAGGAUUAUCCCUCUCUGUUCUGUGUUGCCUUGCUUUACAAGAUACCAUUUUUUUUUACUAACACUGUCUUUGUUAAAAAAUGAAGGGCUUGAAGCUGGAGAAGUGGAGAAUGUUCUUUGUCAUUCUUUUAACUGUGUUUCAUAUAAUUGUGGAGAAAGAAAAAUCCAGAGAAAUAAUAAACAUUGUAGGUUUUGUGCGUUUGAGGUGUAUUAGUUUUUUGUUUUCAUUUUAGUUGUAUUUAUAUUCACAUAUUUUUGUUAUUAAAAUGAUUUGGACCACGAAUUGUAAUGUAUACGAUUGUACUUGAAUAUUAUUUUCUUUUUAUUUAUUUGUUGGUUGAUUGAUUUUCAUUUUCCAUGUGUUAUUUCUCUUCUAGGCAUAGGCAUGUGCGUUCGGGUUUCGGGUUUACAGUCAAAGGUUCUAAUUUAAUUUUUUUUAGAGCGGAUCGGUUUUAGAUAAUAUCACUUCAGGUUUAGUUCAAAAUUGUGUUGCAUUGUAAAAUCUAUAAAGUAAUCAAAUAUCUGUCGGUUUUAAGUUUUUUGGUUCGGUUCGGAUUAUACUAAAAUAACAUACAAAAUUAUGAAACAGAUCAUGUGAAACAUAAUCCUUAAUCUGAAAUGAAAACUACUAGGCACACAUCCAAUCCGAAAAGGACACUCCAUAGUUCAAUAAAACCAAAAAAACAACAUUCCAUAGUUCAAUCACAGCCGAAACAACAAUAUUCGAUAGUCGAAUAAUACCUGAAGAAAACAGUGAAAUGACUAGAGUCCAUUAAUUCUUAUACACCUGGAAAUUUGGGUUGCGAUAAAAACGAGUUAUGCAAAUUAAUGCAAAAAGUUACAAGAAACCUUCACCAUUAUGCAAAUAUAAUCAUCAAACAUGAAAAUCUUCAAAAGGCAACUCAUAACAGUGUAAUUAGACGUGAAUCCUUAGAAAACAAGUAAAAUUAUCAACAGUAAAAUUGUCUAGAUAAUAUUUGUGAUAGUUCACAAUAUCAUAACUAACUAGCAUUGAAUAAAUCAUAUAGUAUACUUCAGUUUCCAUAAAAUAAUAUUUUAUAUAAAUAAUUUCAAAUUUAUGUAGUUUAUUUACGAUAAAAAUUUGUUUUAGUGCAAUUUGAAAUUAUUUCUCAAGUUAUAUUUUAAUUUUAAUUUUUUUGUUAUUAAGCAGAUUGUCCCUUAGAACUUGCAUGAAAAUUUUAUAGUAAAUAAACAAUAGGUGAUACACUUGGUGAACUCAAGCAGUUGUACCAAUCAAAUCACUCUCUUUCAACUUAACUUUUCCUUACAGAUUUCUCUUUUGAGACCUGGAAGAUGAACGUUCACAAUGUAAUGCUCCCAAUCAAUGCUUUUUAUAUCGAACUCAAAUAUUUUUCUCUCUUCCAUUGACAUCUCCUGAAUAAGACUCCUCGUAUUGGUGUCAUCAAACCUAGGAUAUUGACCAAUAUUCAGUAAUUUAAUAAAUAAAAAAAGUCCAAGCUUGUUACUUACCGAGCUUUAAAAAAUGUGUAAGGCUCAUAUGUUCUUGCUAAGGACACAAAAUAGUUUAGUAUCCCUCUUCCCUUGAAGCUCAAUGUGGUAUGUGACUCUUCUGCUUCUCCUCCUUCAUUCUUAGUUCCUCUUUCCUGUUUUGCUAUUAUGUCGAAUACAGAAGAGGUGAAGCUCUCUAAGGAACUAUGGAAUUUCAUUCGCGCUAAGUCUAUCACUGUCAAUGGAAAGUCAUACAGAUGUUGAUAACAGAGGUCCAUCAACUCGGCAACUCGUAGGGGAUUCGCAUGAGAAGAAGUGACAUUGUAAACUUUGAACUCGGAGAAACCACAACCAUGCUUUGCCAUUGCUGCUAUAGUUGCGUUCACAACCAUAUCAACAGGUAUAAUGUCCGCGAAAGAUUGAGAAUCUCCCCAGAGGCCAGAAAUCUGGCCUUUGCCAUAGGCCAAGAUUAUUGGAUCACUCAUCCUGAUUUUUAGAAACCAUAAAAACAUGAAUCAAGAGCUGAUCUAAUCCCUUAGUCUUUAACAAUGAAAAUCUUUAACCUUAUUCCUUGGAGCCAGCCAGGGAAAGGCUCCUUGUAAGAGCUUUCUAUAAUGCUAGGCCUUAUGAUCGCUACAGGCACAUCUUCUCGCAUGGUUUGGAUUAAUGGGUUUCUUAUAAAUGAAAAUAAUUAGAAAAAAUAAAAAAGCAAAUAAAUGGAUGAGAGAGACAAGAGAACGUCUCUUCUCUUAAGGGCAACCCUAUUAAUGGGAUCUAAACAAGUAUCCAACAGUGAAAACAGUGAAAAAAAUUGAAAAAGGAGGAGAGGGACAAAGAAAUGACUCUGGUUUUAGAACCUCAACAAAAAAAACCAACAUAGUUUUUGUCUAUAUGUUGCUUCAUGAUUAGCUACAUCAUUAUUUGUGAUUUAAAAUUAAUUAUUAACUAAAUUAAAUUCAAUUAGAAACCCAUGGAACUGCUUAACGAGGAGACUUUGUCCAAAGUUACAAGAGACGCUUGCCAUUUGUCUAUUAUUUAUUGGCUUAUUUUUUUUGAUAUUAAAAUUUUUGUUUGAGAAACUGUGUAAAGUUUGGAUCACUGCAGGUGCCCUAAUAAUGUGCAGAGAGUAUUAUUUCCCCUUCAUCCUCACCUUUGGAUACCAAGUUCUUUCAGAUUCUUGAUUUCUCCACUGCCAUGCAACUUUCUCACAGCUUCUGAAGCUAAUUUCAGCUCAUGUUCGAUGUUCAAGUCAGAAGUUAUAUUUUCUCCAUUAGAUUUUUAGUUGGCCGACUUUAAACAAUUAAUUAAAAUUAAUCUUAAAGUAAACAAGAAACUGAGAUCCCUUCUUACAGACAUCCUUCUCGCAUAAUCAGUUUUCUUAAUUACAUACCAUGUCCGACCAUUAUCUCAUGAUCUCAAGCAAAUUAAAAAAACAUUUUCUUUUUCGAAAAAAAUAAAUAAAGAAAGAGAAGAUAGAAGAGAGAAAGGGAUCGCAAUUUGCAAACAUCUGUAAUAAUUAUUCUUUGUGAUUUCGAGAGGAGAGGACAGCUCCAAUCUUUCUGUCUCUCUCCCUCUCAAUCAAGUGUAUUGAAAUUGUGAAUCUUUCUUCGGAGGAAACAAGAGAUUUGUCCUGUUUCUGGGAUUUUUUGUCCUGAUUUGAUCCCAUCUCUGACACCUUUGUCUAUAGAUGGUUUUCUGAUUCUGGGUUCUUCCAAAUUUCUUAACUUUGUUGUUUGUUCCUCCUCCUUUAGUUAUGGCUUGGAAUGAGACCAAACUCAAGAGGCUCUAUCAAGUUUGGAGAGGAAGCAAUGUAAGUUCUUGUCUAAUGUCGCUUUGGUGUUUGAUUCAUAUACUCUAUAGGUUCAGUGGUUGUUAGUAUCUUUGAGUCUUGAUUGGUUCAUAUAUAGAAACUUCAGGUUCUUAAUUUGUGAUUUUGACUUUGAUUUUUCUCCAGAAAUUUCUUUGUGGAGGGAGGUUAAUCUUUGGUCCAGAUGCAUCAUCUCUAUACCUAUCGACCAUCUUGAUCCUCGGUCCCUCGGUGAUGUUCUUUGUAAAAAUGUACUUGAAAAUGGCUGAUCCUCUCACCAAGAAUCGAAACCUCUGUGUUCCAAUUCUCUCUGUCGCUUGGAUACUCACCCUUUUGGUAUGUCUUCUUCUUUCCCAUCUCUGUAGAUGAUGACGACUUUAUUGUCUUAAUGUAAACUAAAGCUUCAAUAGUUUUCUUUCAGGACAUAUUUUUCCUCUUCAUGACAUCUGGUAGAGAUCCUGGGAUUGUGCCUAGAAGUCUUAGACCUCCUGAAUCAGAUGAUGUACCUGACUCAACUACUCCUUCCAUGGAAUGGGUUAGCGGUAGAACCCCAAAUAUAAGGCUACCAAGGGUUAAAGAUGUAACUGUUAAUGGCCAUACCGUAAAAGUCAAGUUCUGUGAUACUUGUUUGCUUUACCGUCCACCUAGAGCUUCUCAUUGUUCCAUCUGCAACAACUGUGUACAGAGGUUCGACCAUCACUGCCCUUGGGUUGGCCAGUGCAUUGGAGUGGUAAGUCAGAAAACAUAUUCUCGAGUACUAUGUUGUCUAUGUGUUUUGAAAUUGUUUUUAACUCUUUGCAGAGAAACUACCGGUUCUUCUUCAUGUUCAUAUCAACAUCAACCACUCUGUGCGUAUAUGUGUUUGUGUUCUCUUGGUUGAACUUAUUCCAAAGACAUAUGGAUGAGAAGAUUACCAUCUGGAAAGCAAUAUCCAAAGAUGUUCUGUCUGAUAUUCUCAUUGUUUACUGCUUCAUUACCGUUUGGUUUGUUGGUGGGCUCACUAUAUUUCAUUCCUACCUCAUCUGCACUAACCAGGUGAUUAGAAAUAUAACCAUCCUUUGUGUUUCUCUCUCUCUCUUUUUGUGUGUUCUAAUUCUGAAUGUGUUUUUGUGCAGACUACUUAUGAGAACUUCCGUUACCGAUAUGAUAAGAAGGAGAAUCCAUACAACAAAGGAGUUUUGGGGAACAUAAGGGAAAUAUUUCUAUCUAAGAUUACUCCAUCCAUGAACAAGUUUAGAUCAUUUGUGAAAGAAGAAGAUUACAUGAUGGUUGAAACUCCUACAUCAAAUCUUGGUGAAAGUCUAGUGAGCUCAAAAGAGAAGAUUGAUAUUGAGAUGGGAGGAGGAGGAAGGAUUGUUGAUGAGGGUGGAAAAACUUACUCACUCCCUGAGAUUCUCAGGAAUCUAAACUAUGAAGACCUUGACGAUGACUGUGAGGAAGAUGACUUGAAGGCCAAGGAUCAUCACCACCACCUCCACCAUCAUCAUCAGAAUGAGGAAAUCAUCCCUCCUUUUGACCCUUUCUUCACCAAUGACAAUGGUGUUAACAAGGAUGAGAAAAAUGGACAAGAAUCAAGAGGAUCUUCAAGUGAUAAUGGAGAUUCAGGGAAACACG